UACGUAGGUGGCAAGCGUUAUCCGGAUUUAUUGGGCGUAAAGAGAACGCAGGCGGUCUUUUAAGUCUGAUGUGAAAGCCUUCGGCUUAACCGGAGUAGUGCAUUGGAAACUGGGAGACUUGAGUGCAGAAGAGGAGAGUGGAACUCCAUGUGUAGCGGUGAAAUGCGUAGAUAUAUGGAAGAACACCAGUGGCGAAAGCGGCUCUCUGAUCUGUAACUGACGCUGAGGUUCGAAAGCGUGGGUAGCAAACAGG
Molecule: ribosomal RNA, 253 nt
Filed under: uncultured bacterium
Lineage: Bacteria
Description: partial 16S ribosomal RNA
Rfam family: Bacterial small subunit ribosomal RNA
Source: RNAcentral